UUAAGAAGUGAGUAUGUGGGAUAAAUCAGAGAUUGAUUUAUGAGUUAUUGAUUAUGUAAUUGGAGUUGAGUGAUUGAAUUAUAUGAGGAGUUAUUGGAAGAUUAUGAUUGUUGUUUAUUGAGAGUUGUAUGUGUUUAGAGACAAAAAUUCUAUGAUUACAAAAAUUAUGUGAAUUCGGAUUAUUGGACUGAAAUCUGUUAUUCCUGGUGUUGGAUAGAAAUUAUUAUGUUUUAAGUGGUCUUUUGAGAGUGCAGGAUUGUACACUAUUAUUAUUAGUUGAUCAAGGAGUAUUGUUACUGGGAGAAAACGUUGUAGUAUUUCUUAGUAUUUUAGUGGUUCGGAAUACAAUUAAUUGUAUGAUCCUAAUAAGCAAAACGCAUGCACUUAUUCUUUCCAUGUAUUCGAAUUCUCCUAUACAGGUUUAUUUUGAAAAGAAUUAUAGAAUAAAUAAAACAACAAUCACAGUUUUCAAAUAU
Molecule: long non-coding RNA, 476 nt
Filed under: Physcomitrium patens
Lineage: Eukaryota; Viridiplantae; Streptophyta; Bryopsida; Funariales; Funariaceae
Description: long non-coding RNA (PPAT_LNC000577)
Source: RNAcentral